This 1015-nucleotide ribosomal RNA is filed under the name Synura kristiansenii. RNAcentral's name for it is "partial large subunit ribosomal RNA". It matches the Rfam family "Bacterial large subunit ribosomal RNA", at positions 1010 to 1997 of the family's 2925-position model. Lineage: Eukaryota; Synurophyceae; Synurales; Mallomonadaceae. The record is from RNAcentral.
GUCAAGAGGGAAACAGCCCAGAUCACCAGCUAAGGCCCCUAAAUAAUGACUAAGUGAUAAAGGAAGUGGAAAGGCUUAGACAACCAGGAGGUUUGCUUAGAAGCAGCAAUCCUUUAAAAAGUGCGUAAUAGCUUACUGGUCUAGCAAUUCUGCGCCGAAAACUUACGGGACUAAGUCAUUUGCCGAAGCUGUGAGAUAGUUCAUGAAUAAGUAGAAGAGAUUUUUUAAUCUUGAAGAAAACUUACUAGCAUUGUCUAGGACAUACUAUCGGUAGGGGAGCGUUCUGUUGUAGGUUGAAGUGUUAGCGAAAGCGGGCAUGGACGAAACAGAAGUGAGAAUGUCGGAUUGAGUAGCGAAAACAUUGGUGAGAAUCCAAUGCUCCGAAAACCUAAGGUUUCCUCCGCAAGGCUCGUCCACGGAGGGUGAGUCAGGUCCUAAGGUGAGGCUGAGAAGCGUAGUUGAUGGAUAAUAGAUUAAUAUUUCUAUACUGAUUAUUACUGGUAACGAGGGACGAAUAAGGCUAAACUAGCCAGAGAUUGGUUACUGGUUUAAGGAAGUAAGGUGUUGACGAUUAGUGAAAAUAAUCUGAGCUGAGAUCUGAAUGCAAGAUUGAAAAAUCAAAGUAGUUGAUGUCAUAGUUCCAAGAAAAGCUCGCUAUGCCUUAAGUAAUAAUCACCUGUACCUUAAACCGACACAGGUAGGUAGGUAGAGAAUACCAAGGAGCGCGGGAGAACCCUCCUUAAGGAACUCGGCAAAAUAGCUCUGUAACUUCGGAAGAAAGAGUGCCUUUUAGGCUGCAAUAUCAAGUUCCAAGCAACUGUUUAGCAAAAACACAGGUCUCCGCUAAGUUGUAAGACGAUGUAUGGGGGCUGACGCCUGCCCAGUGCCGGAAGGUUAAAGAAGUUGGUUAGCGCAAGCAAAGCUGGUAACUGAAGCCCCGGUGAACGGCGGCCGUAACUAUAACGGUCCUAAGGUAGCGAAAUUCCUUGUCAGGUAAGUUCUGACCCGCACGAAU